Molecule: non-coding RNA, 77 nt
Organism: Phrynosoma platyrhinos (Desert horned lizard)
Lineage: Eukaryota; Metazoa; Chordata; Lepidosauria; Squamata; Phrynosomatidae
Source: the annotation of a GenBank genome assembly
CCCAGUGUGGUCUAGUGGUAUGGGUACUGGACUAGGACUCCAGCAGACCAGGGUUCAAAUCCUUUUUGGCCAUGGAA